CAACGACAAAACAACAAACCUAUCGCUGUAAUUAUAUUAUUUUAUAUUAUAUUUUUUUUUAUUUAUUUUAUAUUACAUUAUAUUUAUUUUUUUUAGAUUGUAGAACCUUAUAAUCCUGAAGAUGAUCUUCCUGAGGAAGAAAAACAAAAAAUAGAAGAAAGGAGAAGAGAACGAGCAAGAAUUCAAAAUUUAUUUAGACCCAUUGCUCCGCCACCAGAAGCAAUUGUAGAAGAUGAAGAUGAUGACGAUGAUGAUGAUGAUGAUGAUGUUGAUGUUGAAAAUGUUGUACCUCUAAAUAACUACGAACGAAAUAUACCUGUAGUUUUACCAUCCAUCGAAUCUGUAUGUCUAGGCUGCUGCCUGUGCUUUGCUCCUUUAAGACCGCGAAGACCUUGUUGCCAUCGCAAUUGCGGAUCGCUAGGAGCGUGCACAGGUUGCUGCAUAUGCACAACUAACACAAUCGAGGCGAUCAGAGAAGCGUUGAAUGAAAAAAUCGCUUUCAAAAGACAAUAUUGGGCUAAUAACCCAAUGGAAUAUCAAGAUUGAUAUUGCAUUGGGUUUAUUAGCGUUUUUUUAUUUUUUCAAAUAUAACUUUGUAAAUAAUUUUU
Hydra vulgaris (swiftwater hydra) is the source of this 608-nucleotide long non-coding RNA. RefSeq lists it as uncharacterized. The record is from RefSeq and is a predicted model, not a curated record. Lineage: Eukaryota; Metazoa; Cnidaria; Hydrozoa; Anthoathecata; Hydridae.